This 774-nucleotide long non-coding RNA is filed under the name Mus spicilegus (steppe mouse). RNAcentral's name for it is "lncRNA (ENSMSIG00000012041.1)". The record is from RNAcentral. Lineage: Eukaryota; Metazoa; Chordata; Mammalia; Rodentia; Muridae.
AGGGUUCUUACAUGUUAUCAAUAGGAGUGCAUAUUUCUAUAAGCUAUUGGAUAAAAACUUAACCAUGGACGUCAAUUUUUAAGUCUGCAUAAUCUUUUACACCACAUUUUUCAGAAUCAGUCCAGCAGAAAGGCCACUGUGAACACUGGAAAGUGUCUAUUGUCAGCUUUCUUCAUCUGAGACCAGUGAUCCUGUCAUUCACAAGUGAGCUGAAAUCCCAAGGUCCUGAACAGCCAGUGGGUACAUCCUGCAGCAGCACUGUGGUCCUUACAGCACAGUGGUAACCCUGGGGCACCUCUACCUACUACAUGCGUCCAGAGCCAGCUAACCCUCCAGCCUCGAAGCCCUCUCUGCACCCAGUUCCCCGGGCACUCUUGGACCUGCACCUGUGCUCUGGCCUCUCUCUGCCACUAUCAGCACACACCAUGCUAACUCCCAGGCCUGCAUUUGACUUCCUCAGGAACUCUCUCCCGUGCUUCCUCUUGUUAAAAUCUCUUCUUUCUCUUCAGGGUCUGGUGAUGGCAACUUCCAAUGGUGACCUGCCUGCAGCACAUGCGGGUGCAGUAGCAACACAAACGCUGUGGAAGUAAUCAACAAUUCUCUAACUGGACUUAAGGCCUGCUCCAGGCCUUGGAAUUUAUUCCUGACCCUGCUCUGGUUGCCAUGAACCUGAGACUGCAUAGGCCAUGGUCCUAUAGGAAAACCAAAUGCCAAUAAGGGACACAGAAACAUUCUACUAUACCAUAAAACAGUGUCUCACUAAGCCAUCAUCAG